Molecule: ribosomal RNA, 500 nt
Filed under: uncultured Ambispora
Lineage: Eukaryota; Fungi; Glomeromycota; Glomeromycetes; Archaeosporales; Ambisporaceae
Description: SSU rRNA
Rfam family: Eukaryotic small subunit ribosomal RNA
Source: RNAcentral
CCAAUAGCGUAUAUUAAAGUUGUUGCAGUUAAAAAGCUCGUAGUUGAAUUUUGGGUCUGGCCGGGCGGUCCGCCCUCUGGGUGAGCACUGUUCCGACGCCGGGCCUAUCCUUCUGGUGAGUCGGCAUGUCCUUUGUUGGGUGUGUCGGGGAACCAGGACCAUUACCUUGAAAAAAUUAGAGUGUUCAAAGCAGGCGUAUGCUCGGAUACAUUAGCAUGGAAUAAUGAAAUAGGACGCGUGGUGCUAUUUUGUUGGUUUCUAGAACCGCCGUAAUGAUUAAUAGGGAUAGUUGGGGGAAUUAGUAUUCAAUUGUCAGAGGUGAAAUUCUUGGAGUUAUUGAAGACUAACUUCUGCGAAAGCAUUUGCCAAGGAUGUUUUCAUUAAUCAAGAACGAAAGUUAGGGGAUCGAAGACGAUCAGAUACCGUCGUAGUCUUAACCAUAAACUAUGCCGACUAGGAAUCGGGCGAUGUUAUUCUCAUGACUCGCCCGGCGCCUUAUG